GUAGGUGAACCUGCGGAGGGAUCAUUACUGAGUUUUUAACUCUCCAAACCAUGUGAACUUACCACUGUUGCCUCGGUGGUCGGUGCUGGAAACAGUGCUGCCACCGGUGGACUACUAAACUCUUGUUAAUUUUUGUCAAAUCUGAAUCAAACUAAGAAAUAAGUUAAAACUUUCAACAACGGAUCUCUUGGUUCUG
RNAcentral lists this unclassified non-coding RNA (196 nucleotides) under rhizosphere metagenome. RNAcentral describes it as "partial ribosomal RNA internal transcribed spacer region". The record is from RNAcentral.